CUCCAGAAGUUGAAUGUGUGAUCCCUGCUUUAAACGGAGACUCAUAGCACGUGCCCACAUCAGCCCCGUGGCGGUUUGCGCAGCUGUGAGCAUGUGCGGCUCGGUGGGUCGCUGUGUUACCUGGCCGCGGGCGCGUGCCCGUCACCGUGCGGUGAAUUCCGUGCGUCAGGACUGCAGGGCUCGGCGUUCCCUGCUGCACACUCCUGCCCUGUCAAGCGCAAGAGCCGAGGAUUUUACUCCUGCUGCACCCAGCUGGACAGAAAGGCAGUUCUGACCCGCACGACCGUAUCACAAACAUGCUUCCCCAGCUGUGCAGCUGAAUGAGUCUGCAUCCCUCAGGCUUCCUCCACAUGCCCUAUAGUCCACUCUGUAUUUGGACAGUGACACAAUUAUUUAAUAUUUAUUUGUCCAAUUACUUUUGGUCCCCUAAAAUGGGGGGACUAAGUAUAAAAGGCACAUAAUACCUACAUGGUUAAUUUAACAUAUGGAUAUAAAUAUCUUCAAAUUAAAGGUGACUAUGUACUUUAAUGUCCUAUUAAUGGUUUCAUUCCAAAUCCAGUGUGCAAGUGUGCAGAGUCUAAACAACAGAAAUUGUGUCACAAAUACUUAUGGACUGCUCUGUAGGAGUCAAAUUAUUUAUCUGUGCACGUAACCUGGUUCUGAUGUCUGCAACAAAACUUAAGCCAAACCCAAAACCAACUCUGCUUGAACAAUAAAGACGUUACUGGAU
Molecule: long non-coding RNA, 730 nt
Organism: Anguilla anguilla (European eel)
Lineage: Eukaryota; Metazoa; Chordata; Actinopteri; Anguilliformes; Anguillidae
Exons: 2
Source: RefSeq, a predicted model, not a curated record